CAACUACACAGCAGUUCUACAUGGGGAGAAGGGGCUCAGCGUAUGCUCUAGCAGUGUGGCCUGCUAACAGACCCAUGUCUGACUGAGAGUCAGAGGGAGGAGAUGAAGGAAGCAUGACUUAGUGGCCUUGGAGCGCGUACACACACACACACACACACACACACACACACACACACACACACACACACACACGGAGCUCCUCCAAACGCUGCAAGGUAAAGGGAAGAGAGCCAGAACUCACGAAAGGUUGUCCUCCUAUUACACCACCAGCCAACAUGCUUCCUAGUGCAGGCAUUCAGGAGUCAAUGCCAUAAAUGUGUGUGCUCAUUCAACUUUUGCCCAGAUGUGUGUUCAGGCUUGAAGUUGAUGGAGGGCAAGCUCAGACACUUGGGCAAGAGAGCUCUAGUUCAUGGAGCAACUGUUGUGCCAUGAAGAUAGCUCUAGAGGGCUGGAGAGAUAGCUCAGUGGUUAAGAGCACUGACUGUUCUUCCAGAGGACCUGAGUUCAAUUCCCAGCAACCAUGUGGUGGCUCAUAACCAUCUGUAAUGGAAUUGAAUGUCCUCUUCUGGUGUGUCUGAAGAGAGUGACAGUAUACUCACAUUAAUAAAAUAAAAUAAAAUAUUUAAAAAA
This 630-nucleotide long non-coding RNA is filed under the name Rattus norvegicus (Norway rat). Its description in RNAcentral is "long non-coding RNA NONRATT013493". Lineage: Eukaryota; Metazoa; Chordata; Mammalia; Rodentia; Muridae. The record is from RNAcentral.